CCGCGACCCCAGGUCAGGCGGGACUACCCGCUGAGUUA
Molecule: ribosomal RNA, 38 nt
Filed under: Veronica senex
Lineage: Eukaryota; Viridiplantae; Streptophyta; Magnoliopsida; Lamiales; Plantaginaceae
Description: partial 28S ribosomal RNA
Source: RNAcentral